This is a long non-coding RNA of Ochotona curzoniae (black-lipped pika), 785 nucleotides long. RefSeq lists it as uncharacterized. The record is from RefSeq and is a predicted model, not a curated record. The transcript is spliced from 2 exons. NCBI's taxonomy places the organism in Eukaryota, Metazoa, Chordata, Mammalia, Lagomorpha, Ochotonidae.
AGUCUCACCUCCCCACAGCCUGGGAAUGUACCAGACAGAAGCCUGGAACCUGCAGCUCCUCUCCCACAUGAGUGGCAGGGGCCUACGCGCUUUUUCAGAUGCAUUAGCAGGGAGCUGGGUUGGAAGGGGAGCACUGCUGGGAUGCCAGUCUUGAAGGCACUCAUCAGUCUGGCCUCCAGUUUCCUUCUUUUUAGUCUGAGUAAUAUUCUAUUGUGUGAACACUCCACAUUUAUUUUUAUCCAUUUGUCAGUGAGAUUUCUUACUCUGAGGUGAGAUUUUCAAAAAACUUUUUCUUGCCAAAAGGUGUAAGGAGCUUGACCAGGGUUCUGGUGCCUUUAAGGUUAGGUGAACUGAUUUUUCUCCCAUUGUACUUUUCAAACAGUGGAUGCUCUUCUGGUGCUAUUUAAGAGUGUCAUUUUCUGUCUGGUGUGGAGCUGAGUUUGUUCUUGUUAAUCUUUACUUCCAGCCCCAGCAUGGGAUUUACAGAAGACACAGUGCCGCUUCAGGCUCGCCCUUUUAUGAGAAGCCAUGUUUGCCAGUUCUUCUGCCACUUGUCUUCCCUUUGGCCUGAGUCUGUUCAGCUAUGUGUGUAGGGCCGGACAUAUCUGAGUGUCCUCCAGGUUCCUGUUGUUCACUUCCCUCACCGUCUGUGAUCUGCCUGCCACCCUCUCGGUCCCUCCUCGGUCCCUGCUCACUUAUUCCUCUGGUUCCCUUUCUGGCAUCUUCUGGGCCUUCGGUAGGGAGAUUUGUCACUCUGGUAGCUUAUGUCCGUUCAGUCAUUGUAA